This 179-nucleotide non-coding RNA is filed under the name Pseudomonas sp. ABC1. Its description in RNAcentral is "6S / SsrS RNA". It matches the Rfam family "6S / SsrS RNA". Rfam says of the family: E. coli 6S RNA was the first non coding RNA to be sequenced, but its function was unknown until recently. It consists of 184 nucleotides that fold into an extended hairpin structure with a large single-stranded internal bulge. The 6S RNA specifically associates with RNA polymerase holoenzyme containing the sigma70 specificity factor. The record is from Rfam by way of RNAcentral. Lineage: Bacteria; Pseudomonadati; Pseudomonadota; Gammaproteobacteria; Pseudomonadales; Pseudomonadaceae.
AGCUCCCUGGCAUGUACGCCAGCUUGCGAUGACCCUCUCCCGAUAAGCAACACAAUGGAGGCUAUGUGCAAGACCGGUGUGCAUGUCCGCUCGACGGAAAGCCUUAAGGUCUGCUGUAGUCGCCACCUUGAACUCUCGGGUUCAAGGGCCUACGCGAGCAGCGGCAUGCUGGGGAGUCU